AUCCUGGAGAGAUCUGGGAGUGCUCGCAAGAGAACCUGAACACAGGUGCUGCAUGGCUGUCGUCAGCUCGUGUCGUGAGAUGUUGGGUUAAGUCCCGCAACGAGCGCAACCCUUGUCAUUAAUUGCCAUCACUCAGUUGGGCACUUUAAUGAGACUGCCGGUGACAAACCGGAGGAAGGUGGGGAUGACGUCAAGUCCUCAUGGCCCUUAUGGGUAGGGCUUCACACGUCAUACAAUGGUCGGUUCAGAGGGUUGCCAACCCGCGAGGGGGAGCCAAUCUCAGAAAGCCGAUCGUAGUCCGGAUCGCAGUCUGCAACUCGACUGCGUGAAGUCGGAAUCGCUAGUAAUCGCGGAUCAGCAUGUCGCGGUGAAUACGUUCCCGGGUCUUGUACACACCGCCCGUCACACCAUGGGAGCGGGUUCUGCCAGAAGUAGUUAGCCUAACCGCAAGGAGGGCGAUUACCACGGCAGGGUUCGUGACUGGGGUGAAGUCGUAACAAGGUAGCCGUAGGGGAACCUGCGGCUGGAUCACCUCCUUUCU
This 541-nucleotide ribosomal RNA is filed under the name Candidatus Accumulibacter phosphatis. RNAcentral describes it as "bacterial SSU rRNA". It matches the Rfam family "Bacterial small subunit ribosomal RNA", at positions 995 to 1533 of the family's 1533-position model. The record is from RNAcentral. Lineage: Bacteria; Pseudomonadati; Pseudomonadota; Betaproteobacteria.